GGUUCUUCUGUCAAAAUUUAGAACUCUGAGUCCUCUUUCCAACAGAUUUUAUUUGAGUGAAAACCGUCGGGUAGAUUGAGAGAAAAGCUAGUUUUCCCAAAGGGUGACAAAUCUGGACAGGUUUUCAAAUAUAGCUUGUAGAUGAAUUUUUGGAGGGGCUGUGCAACUUCUGAAAAUUGGAAUUGAAACUAGACAGAUUGAAUACUGUUUCUGUGCAAUUUUAGCCCCUAAUUUGACCUAGAAGUAUUUUUACUAAAGCGUUCUUGUUAGCCCUAUAGAACCAAACAGUGCUGGAAAUUGUGUUCUAUUAUGUUAUUUGUUUCUAAGUGUUUCAAAGCAUUUCUAAUGUUGUUUUCUUGCCUUACUAUACUUAUGAAUGAUGAUCAUGGACUAUAUUUCCUCUCGUAUGUUUUUCUCAUACUCUUUUAUAUGACCGAAUUAUCGAAUGUGACUAACUUACCUAGCAAAAGAUCUAAUAAACGAGAAAUAAUAAGGGACUGGCAAUGGGUGACGUUCAUCUUAGUGUUUUAGAACACUUUUAUACAUAUGCAUGACAUGAAUUAUGAUGAGAUUAAUACCAAAUGAGUUAAGUCUUGUGUAAGCAUUUUAAGCAAGCCCCUAGGUUGACACAAACGUAUUCAGACUCUAUGCGGUGGUUUCAGGGUAUAAGCGAGCCCUUUGGUAUGGUAUAUGCAGGGUGUAAGCGAGCCCUAUGCAUGAUUUGGGGUGUAAGCGAGCCUACUUGUUUGGCCAUCCCUUUUGAGGUCCAUCGAUAUCGCUGACCGGUAAAUAACCGGGAGGUGGGCAUGGAUGGUAAGGUUUGCAAAGCAGCAAAAGGAGGAGUUCUGAGUAGUCUAGUGUUUAAUCUUGUGGUUAGGUAGAAGGAUUUCUUUGGGGGGUUCUAGAUGCCUAGUCUAACUACUAAUUUAUAAAACCUUAACGUAAGUAUGUUAUGUUUUCUGAUCUGUUUUGUGUAUGGUUGAUUAAUUGAUAGAAGAUAUAGGGGUGUGUGUGGUUUUACUGGGCAUUCCAAGCUCAUGGCGUGUUAUGCCAGGUGAAGAAGCAGCUUACGAUGGGGAGAGUUAUUCCGAAGACAAUCAAGAUGAAGUUUUAGAGCCGUGGUUCACUUGAAAAUUUUGAACUAGUAGUUUGUUUUUGUUUUCUCUCUCCUUUUACCUUUUGGUUUGACAGUGUUUUGUAAACCUCUAGUGGAACUCAAAUCAGUUAUCUAUGUUAUAACUCUAGUUAUAUGUGUAUAUUAAACUAUUGUGGUUAUCGUUUUUGUUUGAGUUGUACUUUAUAUAUUUCUCCUGUGGUCUCAAAUUUGGGGCGUGACAGGAAAACAGCAAGCUCUGAGGCAAAAACCAGCUUAAACCCACUCAAAUAAAGCUUCCAAGUACCUCAGCAACAAGAGGAAGGUAUUUGAGUAGGUGUUUGUGUGCAAAGAUUUAGCAGGAAAUAUAUAAAUUCAAUCAAAAAAGGGACACGAAAGCAAAUUCUCUGUGCGAGAAGUGAAAAAGCCGAGCCAGCCAUCUCAUCGCACGUUCGGCCGAGCUUCACCGUACGUGCGGCCCACCACUACUCGAGCGGCCCACAUGGGCGUUCAAGUAGCCCAUCUAGGGAUGCGUGCAAUAAAUUUUAAUGCUCUUUUGCUGGGAAUAAAAAGAAAAAUAGUGGACUGAAAGGGGGUUCGAAAAAUGUUCUAAGAAAAUGAGAGACUAGGGUUUGAAAAUGAGAUUUUUCCUCAAGCUUAAAGGACAACUUCCAUGGGGGCUUCUUCCUCAUCAUCUUCCCACUCUUCCAUAAGUGGCUAGUCUUCUUUUCUAGGAUUUUGAUGAAAUCCUAGCCCUGUAAUAAGAUUUUUUAUAAGCUUUGAUUGUGAAUCGGUUUGAAUCAAUGUAUGGAUGAUUUAGAAGUUUUUAAUCAUUGUUCUUUUCAUCUCUUUCA
Molecule: long non-coding RNA, 1947 nt
Organism: Camellia sinensis
Lineage: Eukaryota; Viridiplantae; Streptophyta; Magnoliopsida; Ericales; Theaceae
Source: RefSeq, a predicted model, not a curated record